This 45-nucleotide non-coding RNA is filed under the name Schistosoma mansoni. The record is from RNAcentral. Lineage: Eukaryota; Metazoa; Platyhelminthes; Trematoda; Strigeidida; Schistosomatidae.
AUCCAGCUGAUGAGCUACAAAUAAGACGAAACGCGCGUCCUGGAU